RNAcentral lists this transfer RNA (86 nucleotides) under Synergistaceae bacterium. RNAcentral describes it as "tRNA-Leu". It matches the Rfam family "tRNA". Rfam says of the family: Transfer RNA (tRNA) molecules are approximately 80 nucleotides in length. Their secondary structure includes four short double-helical elements and three loops (D, anti-codon, and T loops). Further hydrogen bonds mediate the characteristic L-shaped molecular structure. tRNAs have two regions of fundamental functional importance: the anti-codon, which is responsible for specific mRNA codon recognition, and the 3' end, to which the tRNAs corresponding amino acid is attached (by aminoacyl-tRNA synthetases). tRNAs cope with the degeneracy of the genetic code in two manners: having more than one tRNA (with a specific anti-codon) for a particular amino acid; and 'wobble' base-pairing, i.e. permitting non-standard base-pairing at the 3rd anti-codon position. The record is from RNAcentral. Lineage: Bacteria; Thermotogati; Synergistota; Synergistia; Synergistales; Synergistaceae.
GCCGGGGUGGCGGAAUGGUAGACGCACGGGACUUAAAAUCCCGCGAACGCAAGUUCGUGGGGGUUCGACUCCCCCUCUCGGCACCA